AUUGAACGCUGGCGGCAGGCCUAACACAUGCAAGUCGAGCGGAUGAAGGGAGCUUGCUCCUGGAUUCAGCGGCGGACGGGUGAGUAAUGCCUAGGAAUCUGCCUGGUAGUGGGGGAUAACGUCCGGAAACGGGCGCUAAUACCGCAUACGUCCUGAGGGAGAAAGUGGGGGCUCUUCGGACCUCACGCUAUCAGAUGAGCCUAGGUCGGAUUAGCUAGUUGGUGGGGUAAAGGCCUACCAAGGCGACGAUACGUAACUGGUCUGAGAGGAUGAUCAGUCACACUGGAACUGAGACACGGUCCAGACUCCUAAGGGAGGCAGCAGUGGGGAAUAUUGGACAAUGGGCGAAAGCCUGAUACAGCCAUGCCGCGUGUGUGAAGAAGGUCUUCGGAUUGUAAAGCACUUUAAGUUGGGAGGAAGGGCAGUAAGUUAAUACCUUGCUGUUUUGACGUUACCAACAGAAUAAGCACCGGCUAACUUCGUG
Molecule: ribosomal RNA, 484 nt
Filed under: uncultured bacterium
Lineage: Bacteria
Description: partial 16S ribosomal RNA
Rfam family: Bacterial small subunit ribosomal RNA
Source: RNAcentral